This 425-nucleotide ribosomal RNA is filed under the name uncultured bacterium. RNAcentral's name for it is "partial 16S ribosomal RNA". It matches the Rfam family "Bacterial small subunit ribosomal RNA", at positions 354 to 796 of the family's 1533-position model. The record is from RNAcentral.
GUGGGGAAUAUUGGACAAUGGGCGCAAGCCUGAUCCAGCCAUGCCGCGUGAGUGAUGAAGGCCCUAGGGUUGUAAAGCUCUUUCACCGGUGAAGAUAAUGACGGUACCCACAGAAGAAGCCCCGGCUAACUUCGUGCCAGCAGCCGCGGUAAUACGAAGGGGGCUAGCGUUGUUCGGAUUUACUGGGCGUAAAGCGCACGUAGGCGGAUCGUUAAGUCGGGGGUGAAAUCCUGGAGCUCAACUCCAGAACUGCCUUCGAUACUGGCGAUCUUGAGUCCGGAAGAGGUGAGUGGAACUCCUAGUGUAGAGGUGGAAUUCGUAGAUAUUCGGAGGAACACCAGUGGCGAAGGCGGCUCACUGGCUCGAUACUGACGCUGAGGUGCGAAAGCGUGGGGAGCAAACAGGAUUAGAUACCCCGGUAGUCC